RNAcentral lists this ribosomal RNA (253 nucleotides) under uncultured bacterium. RNAcentral's name for it is "partial 16S ribosomal RNA". It matches the Rfam family "Bacterial small subunit ribosomal RNA", at positions 524 to 776 of the family's 1533-position model. The record is from RNAcentral.
UACGUAGGGUGCAAGCGUUAAUCGGAUUUACUGGGCGUAAAGGGCGCGUAGGCGGUUUAGUGAGUGUGGUGUGAAAGCCCCGGGCUUAACCUGGGAAGUGCAUCGCAAACGACUAAGCUGGAGUAUAAGAGAGGGUGGCGGAAUUUCCGGUGUAGCGGUGAAAUGCGUAGAGAUCGGAAGGAAUGUCAAUGGCGAAGGCAGCCACCUGGCUUAAUACUGACGCUGAGGCGCGAAAGCGUGGGGAUCAAACAGG